This 253-nucleotide ribosomal RNA is filed under the name uncultured bacterium. Its description in RNAcentral is "partial 16S ribosomal RNA". It matches the Rfam family "Bacterial small subunit ribosomal RNA", at positions 524 to 776 of the family's 1533-position model. The record is from RNAcentral.
UACGAAGGGGGCUAGCGUUGCUCGGAAUCACUGGGCGUAAAGCGCACGUAGGCGGAUUGUUAAGUCAGGGGUGAAAUCCUGGAGCUCAACUCCAGAACUGCCUUUGAUACUGGCGAUCUCGAGUUCGGGAGAGGUGAGUGGAACUGCGAGUGUAGAGGUGAAAUUCGUAGAUAUUCGCAAGAACACCAGUGGCGAAGGCGGCUCACUGGCCCGGUACUGACGCUGAGGUGCGAAAGCGUGGGGAGCAAACAGG